CUACGGGGCGCAGCAGCGAGGAAUAUUGCACAAUGGGGGGAACCCUGAUGCAGCAACGCCGCGUGGAGGAUGACGCAUUUCGGUGUGUAAACUCCUUUUAUAUGUCAAGAAAAUGACGGUAGCAUAUGAAUAAGCACCGGCUAACUCCGUGCCAGCAGCCGCGGUAAUACGGAGGGUGCAAGCGUUACUCGGAAUCACUGGGCGUAAAGGACGCGUAGGCGGGUUGGAAAGUCAGGUGUGAAAUCCUACAGCUUAACUGUAGAACUGCACUUGAAACUUCUAAUCUAGAGUAUGGGAGGGGGAGAUGGAAUUAGUGGUGUAGGGGUAAAAUCCGUAGAUAUCACUAGGAACACCUAAAGCGAAGGCGAUCUCCUGGAACAUUACUGACGCUAAGGCGUGAAAGCGUGGGGAGCAAACAGGAUUAGAUACCCUAGUAGUC
Molecule: ribosomal RNA, 439 nt
Filed under: uncultured bacterium
Lineage: Bacteria
Description: partial 16S ribosomal RNA
Rfam family: Bacterial small subunit ribosomal RNA
Source: RNAcentral